Paramuricea clavata is the source of this 122-nucleotide non-coding RNA. NCBI's taxonomy places the organism in Eukaryota, Metazoa, Cnidaria, Anthozoa, Malacalcyonacea, Plexauridae. The record is from the annotation of a GenBank genome assembly.
GAUUUUCUUCCUCUGAUGCAUGUGAACGAGUGGAUAAGUUAUGAAUGUUCUGAUGAGGGUACAUGUAGUCCAAACAUUCGUAACUCAUCUACUUGUUCACAUGCAUUAGAAGGAAGAAAUUG